GACGAACGCUGGCGGCGGGCUUAACACAUGCCAGUUGAACGGUGAAGCCGCGUCCCUGUUGUUGGGUGUGGAUGAGUGGAGGCCGGGUUAGUAACACGUUUGUUACUUGCCCCGUGCUUCUGCAUUACCGCAUGAAAGUGUGGCUAACACUUGAUCUUGUGAUUCUCUCGCCUCUUGGGUCUGGGGAGGUUGUUUUUUAGGCGGGGGAUGCGCUCCCGGCCUUGCAGCUUGUUGGUGGGGUGACGGUCUACCAAGGCGGUGCCGGCUAGCCGGCCUGAGAGGGUGGACGGUCACACUGGGACUGCGACACGGCACAGACUCCUACGGGAGGCAGCAGUGGGAAAUAUUGCACGAUGGGCGCAAGCCUGAUGCAGCGACGCCGCGUGAGGGAUGGAGGCCUUCGGGUUGUGAACCUCUUUCGCCAGUGACGCAGGCCUGCCUAGUUUGUGGGUGGGUUGACGGUAGCUAGAUAAGAAGCGCCGGCUAACUACGUG
Molecule: ribosomal RNA, 494 nt
Filed under: uncultured bacterium
Lineage: Bacteria
Description: partial 16S ribosomal RNA
Rfam family: Bacterial small subunit ribosomal RNA
Source: RNAcentral